RNAcentral lists this long non-coding RNA (430 nucleotides) under Ananas comosus (pineapple). Its description in RNAcentral is "long non-coding RNA (ACOM_LNC009339)". The record is from RNAcentral. Lineage: Eukaryota; Viridiplantae; Streptophyta; Magnoliopsida; Poales; Bromeliaceae.
GUAUCACAUACCGAUAGACUAUACACCUACACAUGAUAUUAAGCAUGGAAACGUCUGAGUAGAGUAUAAUCAAACAACGUGGGUGUAAUGUGAACAAUAGAGGUGCAAAGCUCAACAUAUAAUAUAUAUAUGGACAAUAACGAAAGAGCAAGGGUAAGAAACCAUCACCGAGCGUGCACCACUGUACCAACGUCGGAUCGAAGUACCCACCUGUACAACUGUCGCGCCUGUCUCCUGACUGCAAAAGAACGUCAACCGGACCUAAGGAAGGCCACCGGAUUAGAGUCUAACCCACAAAUAGUAAAUACGGAGUACAAAAUCCCACAACUAAACCCACGAAUAUCGGUUUCCCAAAACCGAUCGCCGUAAAACGUCGGAAAUCCCGUAAACAGCACCGGGACUCCGCCGGGACCCACUAACUAUCCCGGAA